Molecule: ribosomal RNA, 558 nt
Filed under: uncultured bacterium
Lineage: Bacteria
Description: bacterial SSU rRNA
Rfam family: Bacterial small subunit ribosomal RNA
Source: RNAcentral
CCUACGGGAGGCAGCAGUGGGGAAUAUUGGACAAUGGGCGAAAGCCUGAUCCAGCCAUGCCGCGUGAGUGAUGAAGGCCCUAGGGUUGUAAAGCUCUUUCACCGGUGAAGGUAAUGACGGUAACCGGAGAAGAAGCCCCGGCUAACUUCGUGCCAGCAGCCGCGGUAAUACGAAGGGGGCUAGCGUUGUUCGGAAUUACUGGGCGUAAAGCGCACGUAGGCGGAUAUUUAAGUCAGGGGUGAAAUCCCGGGGCUCAACCCCGGAACUGCCUUUGAUACUGGGUAUCUAGAGUAUGGUAGAAGGUGAGUGGAAUUCCGAGUGUAGAGGUGAAAUUCGUAGAUUUCUCGGAGGACCCCAGUGGCGAAGGCGGCUCACUGGACCAUUACUGACCUUAGUGCGAAAGCUGGGGAACCAAACAGGAUUAGAUACCCUGGUAGUCCCGCCGUAAACGAUGGAAGCUAGCCGUUGGCAGGUUUACCUGUCGGUGGCGCAGCUAACGCAUUAAGCUUCCCGCCUGGGGAGUACGGUCGCAAGAUUAAAACUCAAAGGAAUUGACGG